This 484-nucleotide ribosomal RNA is filed under the name uncultured bacterium. RNAcentral's name for it is "partial 16S ribosomal RNA". It matches the Rfam family "Bacterial small subunit ribosomal RNA", at positions 30 to 507 of the family's 1533-position model. The record is from RNAcentral.
AUUGAACGCUGGCGGAAUGCUUUACACAUGCAAGUCGAACGGCAGCACGGGGGCAACCCUGGUGGCGAGUGGCGAACGGGUGAGUAAUACAUCGGAACGUGCCCGGUCGUGGGGGAUAACGUAGCGAAAGUUACGCUAAUACCGCAUACGAUCUGAGGAUGAAAGCGGGGGACCUUCGGGCCUCGCGCGAUCGGAGCGGCCGAUGUCAGAUUAGGUAGUUGGUGGGGUAAAGGCCUACCAAGCCGACGAUCUGUAGCUGGUCUGAGAGGACGACCAGCCACACUGGGACUGAGACACGGCCCAGACUCCUACGGGAGGCAGCAGUGGGGAAUUUUGGACAAUGGGCGCAAGCCUGAUCCAGCCAUUCCGCGUGCAGGACGAAGGCCUUCGGGUUGUAAACUGCUUUUGUAUGGAACGAAAAGGCUCUGGCUAAUACCUGGGGCUCAUGACGGUACCGUAAGAAUAAGCACCGGCUAACUACAUG